Molecule: ribosomal RNA, 207 nt
Filed under: uncultured bacterium
Lineage: Bacteria
Description: partial 16S ribosomal RNA
Rfam family: Bacterial small subunit ribosomal RNA
Source: RNAcentral
CGUGUAGGCGGUUUCAUAAGUCAGAUGUAAAAGCGUGGGGCUCAACCCCAUAAAGCAUUUGAAACUGUGGAACUUGAGUAGUGGAGAGGAAAGUGGAAUUCCUAGUGUAGCGGUGAAAUGCGUAGAUAUUAGGAGGAAUACCAGUGGCGAAGGCGACUUUCUGGACACAAACUGACGCUGAGGUACGAAAGCAUGGGGAGGCAAACA